AGAUACAAUUUCUGCCAUUUACCAGGAAGAACUAGGGGAACCAGGAGAAGGGCCACCUGCUUGGGGCGGGCCGCCCAUCGUCUGAGAUGUGGGGAGCUCCUCUGCCCCGCCGCCCUGUCUGGGAUGUGAGAAGCGCCUCUGCCCGGCCGCGACCCCGUCUGGGAUCUGAGGAGUGUCUCUGCCCGACCGCCACCCCAUCUGGGAGGUGAGGAGCGUCUCUGCCCGGCCGCCCCGUCUGAGAAGUGAGGAGCCCCUCCGCCUGGCAGCCGCCCCAUCUGGGAAGUGAGGAGCGUCUUGCCGGG
RNAcentral lists this long non-coding RNA (302 nucleotides) under Homo sapiens (human). RNAcentral's name for it is "HSALNT0334513". Lineage: Eukaryota; Metazoa; Chordata; Mammalia; Primates; Hominidae. The record is from RNAcentral.